RNAcentral lists this ribosomal RNA (515 nucleotides) under uncultured bacterium. RNAcentral describes it as "partial 16S ribosomal RNA". It matches the Rfam family "Bacterial small subunit ribosomal RNA", at positions 28 to 523 of the family's 1533-position model. The record is from RNAcentral.
GAUGAACGCUGGCGGCGUGCCUAAUACAUGCAAGUCGAGCGAAUGGAUUGAGAGCUUGCUCUUAUGAAGUUAGCGGCGGACGGGUGAGUAACACGUGGGUAACCUGCCCAUAAGACUAGGAUAACUCCGGGAAACCGGGGCUAAUACCGGAUAACAUUUUGAACCGCAUGGUUCGAAAUUGAAAGGCGGCUUCGGCUGUCACUUAUGGAUGGACCCGCGUCGCAUUAGCUAGUUGGUGAGGUAACGGCUCACCAAGGCAACGAUGCGUAGCCGACCUGAGAGGGUGAUCGGCCACACUGGGACUGAGACACGGCCCAGACUCCUACGGGAGGCAGCAGUAGGGAAUCUUCCGCAAUAGACGAAAGUCUGACGGAGCAACGCCGCGUGAGUGAUGAAGGCUUUCGGGUCGUAAAACUCUGUUGUUAGGGAAGAACAAGUGCUAGUUGAAUAAGCUGGCACCUUGACGGUACCUAACCAGAAAGCCACGGCUAACUACGUGCCAGCAGCCGCCGCGG